Molecule: non-coding RNA, 23 nt
Filed under: Cricetulus griseus (Chinese hamster)
Lineage: Eukaryota; Metazoa; Chordata; Mammalia; Rodentia; Cricetidae
Source: RNAcentral
UCAAAUCUUGGAGGUGGUCUGUA